This is a long non-coding RNA of Frankliniella occidentalis (western flower thrips), 1308 nucleotides long. RefSeq lists it as uncharacterized. Lineage: Eukaryota; Metazoa; Arthropoda; Insecta; Thysanoptera; Thripidae. The record is from RefSeq and is a predicted model, not a curated record. The transcript has 5 exons.
UCUGAGUGAAGGACCCUUCGGUCGUCGCACACGCCGUGCUGCCUCAGCGCCGUGCCACUUCCGAGCGCCCUCUUCCCCCUAACCCUUUUAAGAUCAGCUGGAGUAAAGUGCUGUCGUGACGUUUGUGUCACUGUGAUCUGAUGUACAACUUCAACAUGAGGUGGUUGAGCUUUUGCUGUUUGUUGCUAAAAGAGGCCAGCGUAUCAAGGAAACGUGCAAGUGGAUGAUUGUGUGUCGGUGGUGGCGCCGCCCCCGCGCACUCGUUGAGCAGCCUGCGCAGGGAUCAUUCUGGUCACGAUGCUGCUGCUGUGCGGGGUGUUCUCCGGGAAAUAAUGGUGGCGGCGUUUGCGUCAGAGACGCUGAUGCACGGGCAGGCGGGUGCUUCUCAAACCGAGCGGGAAGCAGAAGGACCACCGCCUGUCAGCGCCUCUCCAAACAAGAGAGGGCCAACCAUCUGCCAAAAGUGUUGAAGUGGAGAAGUCCGGGGAUGGGGCAGAGCACUCUCCCCCGUUGCAGCCCCCACCCAUAACUGCAGAACCUGCAUGCACUCGAGGGCCCGUUGUGCCCUCUUUAAGAUGCAGUGUUCCUCCAGGACGUCCUCUUGACAUGAACCCCAUCUCGAUGGGGCCCAAGCUAUAUCGCCUGCAGCCCGUCGGCACGUCCGCAGGGAACACCAUAUCCAGGAAGUGGUAUUGCAAAGUGUGCGCCAUGGCGUUCACAAGCCUGGAGCAGCUUCGGAAACACUCUGCCUACCUGCAUCCUGAGUACGUUUGCAGUCGCUGCUCCAGAUUCUUCAGAACCCCAUAUCUCAAACACAUACACGAGGCUUCAUGUAAUCGCAACUAUGUCAACUGCAGUCGCUGUGGCCAUCGUGCUAUAUCAAGGGGUCAACUGAAUAGCCAUGUGUGCGUCGGUGGAGCCGUGAACAACGUACGAUUUUCCCAGAGGGUUGAAACCCACAGGGAGCGAAGAGAUUACCCCCCGGCGUAGCGAAUAAGACAGCAUCGCAGCAACAAGGGGAAACUUCGUCUAGCAAAGAACUUUUAAUUAAAUGGAAGCACAACUUCAUUAAUUUUAUUGUUUUUUGAGGUUUUAAAAUGAUGUGCGAUUUAAGUUAUAUUUUCGCUCUUUUUACACUUACCUAUAUAAAGAUACGUUAUUUACUUGUUUAUCUUGACAUUAGUUUUGUGACUUCUUUUAAUCUAAAUAUCGUGCUUAAGUGAGACUUUUAGAAUAGAUAGUUUAAAAUUGUUCUUCUGGACAAAUAUGUGUAUAGUCCCUCAUCCUAAUAAAUAGUUCUCAAUUUUG